CUACGGGGCGCUGCAGUGAGGAAUAUUGCACAAUGGGGGGAACCCUGAUGCAGCAACGCCGCGUGGAGGAUGACGCAUUUCGGUGUGUAAACUCCUUUUAUAUGUCAAGAAAAUGACGGUAGCAUAUGAAUAAGCACCGGCUAACUCCGUGCCAGCAGCCGCGGUAAUACGGAGGGUGCAAGCGUUACUCGGAAUCACUGGGCGUAAAGGACGCGUAGGAGGGUUGGAAAGUCAGGUGUGAAAUCCUACAGCUUAACUGUAGAACUGCACUUGAAACUUCUAAUCUAGAGUAUGGGAGGGGGAAAUGGAAUUAGUGGUGUAGGGGUAAAAUCCGUAGAUAUCACUAGGAAUACCUAAAGCGAAGGCGAUCUCCUGGAACAUUACUGACGCUAAGGCGUGAAAGCGUGGGGAGCAAACAGGAUUAGAUACCCGGGUAGUC
RNAcentral lists this ribosomal RNA (439 nucleotides) under uncultured bacterium. RNAcentral describes it as "partial 16S ribosomal RNA". It matches the Rfam family "Bacterial small subunit ribosomal RNA", at positions 339 to 795 of the family's 1533-position model. The record is from RNAcentral.